This is a long non-coding RNA of Rhipicephalus microplus (southern cattle tick), 347 nucleotides long. NCBI's taxonomy places the organism in Eukaryota, Metazoa, Arthropoda, Arachnida, Ixodida, Ixodidae. The record is from RefSeq and is a predicted model, not a curated record.
UCUUCUUGAACGCAGUUUGAUGACUCCUACUACAUAUUUGGCGCCAUGGCAGUGGCAGCUUGUAGACUGUGAUGUCUCUUUCGUGGAAGUCACAAAGCACGCACCACUUGCACACGUCCAUAAAUACUUCCUCGAACCACAAGGUCAAUCCUUUUCGGAGGCCGGCGUUCUCCAUCCUGAUGCAAGCAUUUUCACAGGAGAAGCUUAUGCAUUACUGGCAGUUGUAAAACACAUUAUACAGAUAAAGGUACAAAAGACAGUAAAUACAGAGAUUCCCCAAGUAACGCGAAAGCCCUAAAAACUCCUAAAAACACAAAAGCCAAUGUUAGUGUUGCUUUACUCACUUU